GAGUAAUGCUUAGGAAUCUGCCUAUUAGUGGGGGACAACAUCUCGAAAGGGAUGCUAAUACCGCAUACGUCCUACGGGAGAAAGCAGGGGAUCUUCGGACCUUGCGCUAAUAGAUGAGCCUAAGUCGGAUUAGCUAGUUGGUGGGGUAAAGGCCUACCAAGGCGACGAUCUGUAGCGGGUCUGAGAGGAUGAUCCGCCACACUGGGACUGAGACACGGCCCAGACUCCUACGGGAGGCAGCAGUGGGGAAUAUUGGACAAUGGGGGGAACCCUGAUCCAGCCAUGCCGCGUGUGUGAAGAAGGCCUUAUGGUUGUAAAGCACUUUAAGCGAGGAGGAGGCUACUUUAGUUAAUACCUAGAGAUAGUGGACGUUACUCGCAGAAUAAGCACCGGCUAACUCUGUGCCAGCAGCCGCGGUAAUACAGAGGGUGCAAGCGUUAAUCGGAUUUACUGGGCGUAAAGCGCGCGUAGGCGGCUAAUUAAGUCAAAUGUGAAAUCCCCGAGCUUAACUUGGGAAUUGCAUUCGAUACUGGUUAGCUAGAGUGUGGGAGAGGAUGGUAGAAUUCCAGGUGUAGCGGUGAAAUGCGUAGAGAUCUGGAGGAAUACCGAUGGCGAAGGCAGCCAUCUGGCCUAACACUGACGCUGAGGUGCGAAAGCAUGGGGAGCAAACAGGAUUAGAUACCCUGGUAGUCCAUGCCGUAAACGAUGUCUACUAGCCGUUGG
This 723-nucleotide ribosomal RNA is filed under the name Acinetobacter calcoaceticus. RNAcentral's name for it is "bacterial SSU rRNA". It matches the Rfam family "Bacterial small subunit ribosomal RNA", at positions 108 to 826 of the family's 1533-position model. The record is from RNAcentral. Lineage: Bacteria; Pseudomonadati; Pseudomonadota; Gammaproteobacteria; Moraxellales; Moraxellaceae.